UUUAGGCUUAGGCUUAGGCUUAGGCCUAGGCUUAGGCUUUGGCUUAGGCUUAGGUUUAGGCGUAGGCUUAGGCUUAGGCUUAGUCUCAGGCUUUGGCUUAGACUGAGGCUUAGGAUUAGGCAUAAGCUUAGGCUUAGGCUUAGGCUUAGGCUU
Non-coding RNA from Caenorhabditis elegans, 153 nucleotides. NCBI's taxonomy places the organism in Eukaryota, Metazoa, Nematoda, Chromadorea, Rhabditida, Rhabditidae. The record is from Ensembl.